AUUGAACGCUGGCGGCAUGCCUUACACAUGCAAGUCGAACGGCAGCACGGGAGCAAUCCUGGUGGCGAGUGGCGAACGGGUGAGUAAAGUAUCGGAACGUGCCCAGUCGUGGGGGAUAACGUAGCGAAAGUUACGCUAAUACCGCAUACGAUCUAUGGAUGAAAGCGGGGGAUCGCAAGACCUCGCGCGAUUGGAGCGGCCGAUAUCAGAUUAGGUAGUUGGUGGGGUAAAGGCUCACCAAGCCGACGAUCUGUAGCUGGUCUGAGAGGACGACCAGCCACACUGGGACUGAGGCCCGGCCCAGACUCCUACGGGAGGCAGCAGUGGGGAAUUUUGGACAAUGGGCGCAAGCCUGAUCCAGCCAUGCCGCGUGCAGGAUGAAGGCCUUCGGGUUGUAAACUGCUUUUGUACGGAACGAAAAGGUUUGGCUUAAUACGUUGAACUCAUGACGGUACCGUAAGAAUAAGCACCGGCUAACUACGUGCCAGCCGCCGCCGUAA
Molecule: ribosomal RNA, 500 nt
Filed under: uncultured bacterium
Lineage: Bacteria
Description: partial 16S ribosomal RNA
Rfam family: Bacterial small subunit ribosomal RNA
Source: RNAcentral